This is a long non-coding RNA of Clupea harengus (Atlantic herring), 1246 nucleotides long. NCBI's taxonomy places the organism in Eukaryota, Metazoa, Chordata, Actinopteri, Clupeiformes, Clupeidae. The record is from Ensembl.
GCUCUGGGCCUGAACACAAGAAUCAGUGAUUCCCUCUUCGUCACGCAGCAUACAGAAUCAUGGCUUCAGCAUCCGGAAAAAAAGGAUCCACAGGACCAGCAUCCAAACAAAUAGUAGCCAAAAUUGUGGAGGUUGUGAAGCCCAUCGUACAAGCGGAUAUCGCCUUAAGCCUGUUCCUAAUAGUAGUAGAAAAACUGAUGGAGACUGAGUUUAUUUGUCCGUGUAACUCAUCCAACAAUUUUGUCUCAAAUGUGCUUUUGAGUUGUUCAAGUUUGAUCAUCCUCUUUGCCACAGUGUUCAUCAAAAUGGAUCAGUACAAGAAGCUGGAGAAAUGCUGUGACUGCAGUAAUAUUUUGCGUUUGUUUGGCGUAUUGCUAUCAGUGGUGCUCGUUGUGUUAUUGUGGCUCUUUGUGUUGUUCUUUGACGGACACUACUAUGUUUGCAAGAGGAGCUCCUGGGAUGGCACUUGGAAAGUAAAUUCUACAGACGUACCCCACAAAUGGUGCCAACCUCCACCUGAGGACAGAAAUUUCGACUUCCUGAAAAAGCAGUCUGUAGAGUUGCUUUUUGAGUCUCAGCUCAUAGCCAUGGGACUGCUGAUUGGCCUUACUGUGUUUUUCGGUCUCUACAUCAUUUUUCUUAUUAUUAUAAAGCGCAAAGAGGAGAAAGACAGAAAAAAACAAGAAGCAAUAGACAAAGAAAGAAAAAGAUUGGAAGACGAACAGAAAGAAAAUGCAGCAGAGAACAUUCCUCUUCACCAAGUUUGAUUAGAAAUUAUUUUAUAUUACAUUGCAUUCAUAUACUGUAUGAAAUACUGUACAACUACUAAUGGCUGUACAUUUAAAGAUACACUUUUUGGCAAAAUUUGUCAUUCAGACAUGCUUUGAUUACACACCUGUCUGUAAGAAAUGCUUAGAUUAUUACAUUGCUAUGAGGGUUUAUGAUAUGCUGUAUGAAAUACUGUAAAAUUCCUGCAAAAUCUACAAACAGCUACUAACAGUCUAGCUUGAAUUUGCAUUAAUUUCAUCACAGCAUAAUAAAUAAAUAAAUGCAUUUGACUGAAUUUGCAAAUUUGAAUUUGAUCUACGAUUAUAUUUCAAAUUCCAACUUUUUGCAUACAUUUUUCGCUGUGUGACACUCACACUCACCCAAACACAAGCACAUAACUGCAAAAGGAAAGUCACGCACAAAUGCAUGCUGAUGGUCACACACAAACACACACACACACAGACACACACACACACAC